AGCCUAGUUACCAGGCAGUGUAGUUAGCUGAUUGCCAAAGGUAACAAUCACUAACCACACAGCCAGGUAAAAAG
Molecule: microRNA precursor, 74 nt
Filed under: Pelodiscus sinensis (Chinese soft-shelled turtle)
Lineage: Eukaryota; Metazoa; Chordata; Testudines; Trionychidae
Description: microRNA 34c (ENSPSIG00000019692.1)
Rfam family: mir-34 microRNA precursor family
About the family: Human mir-34a was discovered computationally and later experimentally verified. The mature sequence is excised from the 5' arm of the hairpin.
Source: RNAcentral